RNAcentral lists this ribosomal RNA (490 nucleotides) under Fusarium solani. Its description in RNAcentral is "eukaryotic LSU rRNA". The stretch from base 133 to 286 matches the Rfam family "5.8S ribosomal RNA". The record is from RNAcentral. Lineage: Eukaryota; Fungi; Ascomycota; Sordariomycetes; Hypocreales; Nectriaceae.
UCACCCUGUGACAUACCUAUAACGUUGCCUCGGCGGGAACAGACGGCCCCGUAACACGGGCCGCCCCCGCCAGAGGACCCCCUAACUCUGUUUCUAUAAUGUUUCUUCUGAGUAAACAAGCAAAUAAAUUAAAACUUUCAACAACGGAUCUCUUGGCUCUGGCAUCGAUGAAGAACGCAGCGAAAUGCGAUAAGUAAUGUGAAUUGCAGAAUUCAGUGAAUCAUCGAAUCUUUGAACGCACAUUGCGCCCGCCAGUAUUCUGGCGGGCAUGCCUGUUCGAGCGUCAUUACAACCCUCAGGCCCCCGGGCCUGGCGUUGGGGAUCGGCGGAAGCCCCCUGCGGGCACAACGCCGUCCCCCAAAUACAGUGGCGGUCCCGCCGCAGCUUCCAUUGCGUAGUAGCUAACACCUCGCAACUGGAGAGCGGCGCGGCCACGCCGUAAAACACCCAACUUCUGAAUGUUGACCUCGAAUCAGGUAGGAAUACCCGC